CAGUCGCCGCGGGAAAACGGAGGGUGCAAGCGUUAAUCGGAAUUACUGGGCGUAAAGCGUGCGUAGGCGGUUCGUUAAGUCUGUUGUGAAAGCCCCGGGCUCAACCUGGGAAUGGCAAUGGAUACUGGCGAGCUAGAGUGUGUCAGAGGAUGGUGGAAUUCCCGGUGUAGCGGUGAAAUGCGUAGAGAUCGGGAGGAACAUCAGUGGCGAAGGCGGCCAUCUGGGACAACACUGACGCUGAGGCACGAAAGCGUGGGGAGCAAACAGGAUUAGAUACCCCCGUAGUCCCUGUCUCUUAUAC
Molecule: ribosomal RNA, 301 nt
Filed under: uncultured bacterium
Lineage: Bacteria
Description: partial 16S ribosomal RNA
Rfam family: Bacterial small subunit ribosomal RNA
Source: RNAcentral